This 1998-nucleotide ribosomal RNA is filed under the name Triticum aestivum (bread wheat). RNAcentral describes it as "partial small subunit ribosomal RNA". Lineage: Eukaryota; Viridiplantae; Streptophyta; Magnoliopsida; Poales; Poaceae. The record is from RNAcentral.
AUGAAAUACCUGGGCUCAAUUCUCCACAAACUCAACAACCUCAAGUCCAUAAUUCUGGCAUCUGCAUGUUCCUGUCCUGUAAAUACUUCGAGUGUGAGCAUUUCAUGUGUUGGCUUGAGCAACGUGUCUCCUGCUCUGGCCCAUCUCGUGAGACUUGAGUUAUUGCCACGGAUUUGCAUCUUUCCCAGCCUCCCGAACUGGUUUAAAACACUGGACAAACUCUUCACUCUGAAGAUAGCAAUCAGAGAGUUGUCGAACAGUGAUAUUGAUAUCGUUAAAGGGUUACCUGCCCUCGCUGCUUUCUCGCUGUGCAUCCAGACAGCGCCUGCAGAGAGGAUUGUCUUUGGCAAGGCUGGAUUUUCAGCUCUCAAGUACUUCAAGUUGAGGUGCAGUAAACUGUUGCUGAAAUUUGAGGCUGAUGCAAUGCCUAAUCUUCAGAAGCUCAAGCUAGUCUUCAAUGUUCAGGAAGUGCAGCAGCAUGGAGCUGGAGCUAUCUGCAUCGAGCACUUGGCAGGGCUUAAAGAGAUAUCCGCAAAAAUUGGGGGUGCAGGUGCUGCUGGCACAGAGUCUGCCUUGAGGAUUUCUGUUAGCAAUGAUCCAAAAAAUCCAAAAAUCAAUGGUCAGCUGGUGAACUGGAAUUUCUGUGCCGACGAAGAUGGGAUUAUCGCGGCACCAGACCGAGCAGCUCUGAUUAUGGAAGAACGAGGUGAGAUCCUGGAGGAAAACACAGAAUAUGAGUACAAAAGAGAAGAUGGGGACCGACAACCUGAUAGCGGCAUUUCUACGCUGCUGGAGCCCUCUGUCCCGUUCCCUGAGAGACCCACCGACCGGCCACAUGGCCAGAGGCUCCUUUCUGCGUGGUCCAGGGCCAGGCACACCUUGAAAGCUGUGCCCCGCACCUUGAAAGCCGGCAAUGAGGGCCACGGUGUUGGGAGUGUAAAAUUAUUCAGCUAUAAGGAGUUGGAUAGGGCAACUGCAAGAUUUCACCAAUCCAAUAAGAUUGGUGAGGGAGGUUAUGGACCAGUGUAUAAGGGAACGCUCAAGGAUGGAACAGCUGUUGCAGUAAAGGUGCUCUCUUUGCAGUCUAGGCAAGGCGCGAAGGAAUUUCUUAGUGAACUUAUGGCGAUCUCUGAUAUUUCCCAUGAGAAUCUUGUCAAACUUUAUGGCUGUUGUGUGGAAGGAAGCCACAGGAUCCUUGUCUAUAAUUAUCUUGAAAAUAAUAGCCUUGCACAAACCCUUCUAGGUUCUCAGCGUAGCAGCAUCCAGUUCAAUUGGAGAACUCGGGUGAAUAUUUGCAUUGGUGUUGCCCAGGGACUAGCAUACCUCCACGACGGUAUCCGGCCUCACGUUGUCCAUCGUGACAUCAAAGCAAGCAAUAUACUUCUCGAUAAGGAUCUUACCCCGAAAAUUUCUGAUUUCGGCUUAACAAGGCUUCUACCUUCAGGUGUAGCACAUAUUAGCACAAGAGUCGCAGGAACACGAGGUUACUUGGCUCCUGAAUACGCCAUCCGAGGACAAGUGACACGGAAGUUAGAUGUUUACAGCUUUGGUGUUCUGCUGAUAGAAAUAGUCAGUGGAAGAUGCAACACUGAUACAAGACUGUCGUACGAAGAUCAGAUUCUUCUUGUGAAGACAUGGGAAUACUAUGACCAGGGGCAACUGGACAAGAUCAUCGACAGCUCGCUGGGCGACGACCUGGACGUCGACGAGGCGUGCAGGUUCCUGAAAGUGGGGCUCUUGUGCACGAAGAACGUCACGAAACGCCGGCCCGAUAUGUCGACGGUGACCCGCAUGCUGAGGGGCGAGGAGGACAUGGAGUCGCAGGAGAUCAUUAAGCCCGACGUGAUCCGGGACAUCAUGGACCUGAAGCUGAGGAGCAAGGCCACGUCAUCGUCGCUGCUGACCUCAGCCGUGGGGCAGUCCUCCCCGUCGUCGUCAUCCAUGGGCAACACCACCCGCGCCUCCAGCACCUUCACCGCGACAUCGGACCGCCCCUGA